UCCUGGAGUCUCAGUCUUGGGGAACCCCCGCCCAUCGGUGAUCAGGGUCGGCUCCUCGGAUAAUGCUCCACAGUGUUCACCUUCUAGUAUCAAAAUGUCCUUGCAGGAGGUCCCUAGACUCAUUUGGAAAUUGAUGCCGCACUUGCCUCUAAGGUGGUUCUGUGGACAGUCAAGUCUGACUGCUGAAGCAGGAAAUUGAGAAGGGGUGUCCAGCUAGCAGAAGUGGAGAGAGGAUGCAGCCACCGUUCGGCCUUUCCCAGACUGGCGGAAUUCAAGGAGCUCUCUUACCUGGGACGUGUCUGGUAAGAUCAACAUCCUCUUCUCCAUCCCCUUCUCUGGUUUUCAUGAGGACACAUGUCUACUCUUCCCGGAUGCGUCAUGAAUAAAUCCUGCUUUUAACAAAGCUCUCUGUCAGGGACUCUGUCAUUACUGGCCUGACAGUGAACUUGUUUUCCUCAUUUAUUAGACGAGGAGACAGAAAAAAUACCAGUCUUCCCUAUUUCACAAGGUUGUUGCAAAGAUCAGGUAAGAUAAUUCACGUGAAUGACCUUUCAAGCUUACUGUGAGGCAGCAGUUAUGGCUCCUGUUUUUAGGCUGACUUGGUUCUCAGAAAAACAAUGGCUAUUACUUCCUUUCACAAACCACAUUUUGUAUGACCAGUUGCCCUAAAAACAUGACCCCUGAAUUUAUAGUCUGGCCAGCAGGGGGCAGUGGAAGCCAUCCUUACGCCUGCUAAUUGAAGAAAACGGGAUGAGAUUUCAGUUUAACGCAGUGCCCAAGGUGUGAUUCCCACACCAGCAGUAUCAGCAUCACCUGAGAACUGGUUAGAAAUGCAAAUUAUCGAGCCCCACUCCAAACCUCCUGAUUUGGAAACUCAGGGUUGCGCCCCCCCAAUUAAGUUAUAAGA
Long non-coding RNA from Talpa occidentalis (Iberian mole), 907 nucleotides. RefSeq lists it as uncharacterized. The record is from RefSeq and is a predicted model, not a curated record. The transcript is spliced from 3 exons. NCBI's taxonomy places the organism in Eukaryota, Metazoa, Chordata, Mammalia, Eulipotyphla, Talpidae.